Molecule: unclassified non-coding RNA, 235 nt
Filed under: Hevea brasiliensis (rubber tree)
Lineage: Eukaryota; Viridiplantae; Streptophyta; Magnoliopsida; Malpighiales; Euphorbiaceae
Source: RNAcentral
UGACCUAGGCAAGUUGAUGGAGGUAUUUUUCAGGCACUGUUCCCUUGGUUCCAUGGUUUACUACUUGCUACACUUCUCAAAAACUUUAAUCAUGAGUAAAGAGCAUGCCACUGAGCAUUGCACAUUUUGACAUGAGAACCAUCCUGGCAUUUUCAAUAACUAUGAGUAUCAUUUUAUGGGUGUGUUGACUCGUUGAUCUGCUUUUCAUCUUUAGGUUCAUGGUGACUAUUCAGCA